ACGGCCCCGUUGCCCAUCGCCCCCGCCGCUCCACGCGACGGAGGCCAUCUCUCCCCUAUUUCCCUCUUCUUCCAUCCCACAGGGCAAGUGCGUGGCAGAGCAAGGAAGGACGACCGACAUCUCUCUCUUCUCCCUCGCCCCGCUGCACCUCACCACAGCCUCACGCUUCCAGACGCUCGCCUCGAAGGAGGCAGCCGCCUCAACCGUCUCCACGCCCAGUGGGGCGCGGGGAGCGGGCUACUCUCGCUGCUCGACCGGGCGCUUACCGUCGAGGAGCAGUACUGCCGCCAGCGUGCCCAGGUGCAGCGCAAGGGCAUGGAGGCGGAGGGGUUUGGCAUAGAGGGGAUCUCGACGGGCGGGCACGAGACCUGCGUCACUGCGCCGUCCCCAUUCUGUGGCAGUGGUUGA
Molecule: ribosomal RNA, 408 nt
Filed under: Triticum aestivum (bread wheat)
Lineage: Eukaryota; Viridiplantae; Streptophyta; Magnoliopsida; Poales; Poaceae
Description: partial small subunit ribosomal RNA
Source: RNAcentral